RNAcentral lists this ribosomal RNA (2919 nucleotides) under Staphylococcus aureus subsp. aureus ST228. Its description in RNAcentral is "bacterial LSU rRNA". It matches the Rfam family "Bacterial large subunit ribosomal RNA". Lineage: Bacteria; Bacillati; Bacillota; Bacilli; Caryophanales; Staphylococcaceae. The record is from RNAcentral.
UUAAGUUAUUAAGGGCGCACGGUGGAUGCCUUGGCACUAGAAGCCGAUGAAGGACGUUACUAACGACGAUAUGCUUUGGGGAGCUGUAAGUAAGCUUUGAUCCAGAGAUUUCCGAAUGGGGAAACCCAGCAUGAGUUAUGUCAUGUUAUCGAUAUGUGAAUACAUAGCAUAUCAGAAGGCACACCCGGAGAACUGAAACAUCUUAGUACCCGGAGGAAGAGAAAGAAAAUUCGAUUCCCUUAGUAGCGGCGAGCGAAACGGGAAGAGCCCAAACCAACAAGCUUGCUUGUUGGGGUUGUAGGACACUCUAACGGAGUUACAAAGGACGACAUUAGACGAAUCAUCUGGAAAGAUGAAUCAAAGAAGGUAAUAAUCCUGUAGUCGAAAAUGUUGUCUCUCUUGAGUGGAUCCUGAGUACGACGGAGCACGUGAAAUUCCGUCGGAAUCUGGGAGGACCAUCUCCUAAGGCUAAAUACUCUCUAGUGACCGAUAGUGAACCAGUACCGUGAGGGAAAGGUGAAAAGCACCCCGGAAGGGGAGUGAAAUAGAACCUGAAACCGUGUGCUUACAAGUAGUCAGAGCCCGUUAAUGGGUGAUGGCGUGCCUUUUGUAGAAUGAACCGGCGAGUUACGAUUUGAUGCAAGGUUAAGCAGUAAAUGUGGAGCCGUAGCGAAAGCGAGUCUGAAUAGGGCGUUUAGUAUUUGGUCGUAGACCCGAAACCAGGUGAUCUACCCUUGGUCAGGUUGAAGUUCAGGUAACACUGAAUGGAGGACCGAACCGACUUACGUUGAAAAGUGAGCGGAUGAACUGAGGGUAGCGGAGAAAUUCCAAUCGAACCUGGAGAUAGCUGGUUCUCUCCGAAAUAGCUUUAGGGCUAGCCUCAAGUGAUGAUUAUUGGAGGUAGAGCACUGUUUGGACGAGGGGCCCCUCUCGGGUUACCGAAUUCAGACAAACUCCGAAUGCCAAUUAAUUUAACUUGGGAGUCAGAACAUGGGUGAUAAGGUCCGUGUUCGAAAGGGAAACAGCCCAGACCACCAGCUAAGGUCCCAAAAUAUAUGUUAAGUGGAAAAGGAUGUGGCGUUGCCCAGACAACUAGGAUGUUGGCUUAGAAGCAGCCAUCAUUUAAAGAGUGCGUAAUAGCUCACUAGUCGAGUGACACUGCGCCGAAAAUGUACCGGGGCUAAACAUAUUACCGAAGCUGUGGAUUGUCCUUUGGACAAUGGUAGGAGAGCGUUCUAAGGGCGUUGAAGCAUGAUCGUAAGGACAUGUGGAGCGCUUAGAAGUGAGAAUGCCGGUGUGAGUAGCGAAAGACGGGUGAGAAUCCCGUCCACCGAUUGACUAAGGUUUCCAGAGGAAGGCUCGUCCGCUCUGGGUUAGUCGGGUCCUAAGCUGAGGCCGACAGGCGUAGGCGAUGGAUAACAGGUUGAUAUUCCUGUACCACCUAUAAUCGUUUUAAUCGAUGGGGGGACGCAGUAGGAUAGGCGAAGCGUGCGAUUGGAUUGCACGUCUAAGCAGUAAGGCUGAGUAUUAGGCAAAUCCGGUACUCGUUAAGGCUGAGCUGUGAUGGGGAGAAGACAUUGAGUCUUCGAGUCGUUGAUUUCACACUGCCGAGAAAAGCCUCUAGAUAGAAAAUAGGUGCCCGUACCGCAAACCGACACAGGUAGUCAAGAUGAGAAUUCUAAGGUGAGCGAGCGAACUCUCGUUAAGGAACUCGGCAAAAUGACCCCGUAACUUCGGGAGAAGGGGUGCUCUUUAGGGUUAACGCCCAGAAGAGCCGCAGUGAAUAGGCCCAAGCGACUGUUUAUCAAAAACACAGGUCUCUGCUAAACCGUAAGGUGAUGUAUAGGGGCUGACGCCUGCCCGGUGCUGGAAGGUUAAGAGGAGUGGUUAGCUUCUGCGAAGCUACGAAUCGAAGCCCCAGUAAACGGCGGCCGUAACUAUAACGGUCCUAAGGUAGCGAAAUUCCUUGUCGGGUAAGUUCCGACCCGCACGAAAGGCGUAACGAUUUGGGCACUGUCUCAACGAGAGACUCGGUGAAAUCAUAGUACCUGUGAAGAUGCAGGUUACCCGCGACAGGACGGAAAGACCCCGUGGAGCUUUACUGUAGCCUGAUAUUGAAAUUCGGCACAGCUUGUACAGGAUAGGUAGGAGCCUUUGAAACGUGAGCGCUAGCUUACGUGGAGGCGCUGGUGGGAUACUACCCUAGCUGUGUUGGCUUUCUAACCCGCACCACUUAUCGUGGUGGGAGACAGUGUCACGGGGCAGUUUGACUGGGGCGGUCGCCUCCUAAAAGGUAACGGAGGCGCUCAAAGGUUCCCUCAGAAUGGUUGGAAAUCAUUCAUAGAGUGUAAAGGCAUAAGGGAGCUUGACUGCGAGACCUACAAGUCGAGCAGGGUCGAAAGACGGACUUAGUGAUCCGGUGGUUCCGCAUGGAAGGGCCAUCGCUCAACGGAUAAAAGCUACCCCGGGGAUAACAGGCUUAUCUCCCCCAAGAGUUCACAUCGACGGGGAGGUUUGGCACCUCGAUGUCGGCUCAUCGCAUCCUGGGGCUGUAGUCGGUCCCAAGGGUUGGGCUGUUCGCCCAUUAAAGCGGUACGCGAGCUGGGUUCAGAACGUCGUGAGACAGUUCGGUCCCUAUCCGUCGUGGGCGUAGGAAAUUUGAGAGGAGCUGUCCUUAGUACGAGAGGACCGGGAUGGACAUACCUCUGGUGUACCAGUUGUCGUGCCAACGGCAUAGCUGGGUAGCUAUGUGUGGACGGGAUAAGUGCUGAAAGCAUCUAAGCAUGAAGCCCCCCUCAAGAUGAGAUUUCCCAACUUCGGUUAUAAGAUCCCUCAAAGAUGAUGAGGUUAAUAGGUUCGAGGUGGAAGCAUGGUGACAUGUGGAGCUGACGAAUACUAAUCGAUCGAAGACUUAAUCAA